RNAcentral lists this ribosomal RNA (468 nucleotides) under uncultured bacterium. RNAcentral's name for it is "partial 16S ribosomal RNA". It matches the Rfam family "Bacterial small subunit ribosomal RNA", at positions 28 to 507 of the family's 1533-position model. The record is from RNAcentral.
GACGAACGCUGGCGGCGUGCUUAACACAUGCAAGUCGAACGGAAAGGCCCUGCUUUUGUGGGGUGCUCGAGUGGCGAACGGGUGAGUAACACGUGAGUAACCUGCCCUUGUCUUUGGGAUAACUUCAGGAAACUGGGGCUAAUACCGGAUAGGAGCUCCUGCUGCAUGGUGGGGGUUGGAAAGUUUCGGCGGUUGGGGAUGGACUCGCGGCUUAUCAGCUUGUUGGUGGGGUAGUGGCUUACCAAGGCUUUGACGGGUAGCCGGCCUGAGAGGGUGACCGGCCACAUUGGGACUGAGAGACGGCCCAGACUCCUACGGGAGGCAGCAGUGGGGAAUAUUGCACAAUGGGCGGAAGCCUGAUGCAGCAACGCCGCGUGCGGGAUGACGGCCUUCGGGUUGUAAACCGCUUUCGCCUGUGACGAAGCGUGAGUGACGGUAAUGGGUAAAGAAGCACCGGCUAACUACGUG